AUGAAAAUGAUAAUCAUCUGCUUCAAUUUAUCAACCAACCAAUCUUUCGGCUUACUCAAAGAUUUUUAACUUUUUUUAGGUUAACAUGCUUUGCAGUAUGUUUUGCGGUGGGAGUAAGAGUUGAUCCAGACAACCUAACCAAUUUCAUCAUGAAGGCUGUCUUACAUGCAUUGAUCUAAUUAAGUUUUAGAUUCAACCGUGGUAAAGUUCAGCAGAUUAGUGCGCAUGUACAUACGUGUUAUAUAUAUAUAUACAUAUAUAUAGACACACAUGUAUACAUACAUAUAUAUGGCUAUGUUGCAAAGUCUGCCGCUAAAUGAUGGACAAUGUACAUCCCAUCAAAUUCUAGUGGAGGAUGCAUAUGUGUCAUCAAAGUUUAUGGUUGUCUAUCAGUCCACCACUCAAUGUAUAACUUAAUUAUCUACAGCAGCAAAAUUAUCUCU
This is a long non-coding RNA of Ziziphus jujuba (common jujube), 443 nucleotides long. RefSeq lists it as uncharacterized. Lineage: Eukaryota; Viridiplantae; Streptophyta; Magnoliopsida; Rosales; Rhamnaceae. The transcript is spliced from 2 exons. The record is from RefSeq and is a predicted model, not a curated record.